RNAcentral lists this ribosomal RNA (407 nucleotides) under uncultured bacterium. Its description in RNAcentral is "bacterial SSU rRNA". It matches the Rfam family "Bacterial small subunit ribosomal RNA", at positions 355 to 776 of the family's 1533-position model. The record is from RNAcentral.
UGGGGAAUAUUGCGCAAUGGGGGAAACCCUGACGCAGCGACGCCGCGUGAAGGAAGAAGGCCUUCGGGUUGUAAACUUCUUUGAUUGGGGACGAAGAAAGUGACGGUACCCAAGGAACAAGCCACGGCUAACUACGUGCCAGCAGCCGCGGUAAUACGUAGGUGGCGAGCGUUGUCCGGAAUUACUGGGUGUAAAGGGCGCGUAGGCGGGGGAGUAAGUCAGAUGUGAAAGCCCAUGGCUCAACUGUGGGACUGCAUCUGAAACUACUUUUCUUGAGUGCUGGAGAGGAAAGCGGAAUUCCUAGUGUAGCGGUGAAAUGCGUAGAUAUUAGGAGGAACACCAGUGGCGAAGGCGGCUUUCUGGACAGUAACUGACGCUGAGGCGCGAAAGCGUGGGUAGCAAACAGG